RNAcentral lists this ribosomal RNA (1488 nucleotides) under Lactiplantibacillus plantarum. RNAcentral describes it as "bacterial SSU rRNA". It matches the Rfam family "Bacterial small subunit ribosomal RNA". The record is from RNAcentral. Lineage: Bacteria; Bacillati; Bacillota; Bacilli; Lactobacillales; Lactobacillaceae.
GGACGAACGCUGGCGGCGUGCCUAAUACAUGCAAGUCGAACGAACUCUGGUAUUGAUUGGUGCUUGCAUCAUGAUUUACAUUUGAGUGAGUGGCGAACUGGUGAGUAACACGUGGGAAACCUGCCCAGAAGCGGGGGAUAACACCUGGAAACAGAUGCUAAUACCGCAUAACAACUUGGACCGCAUGGUCCGAGUUUGAAAGAUGGCUUCGGCUAUCACUUUUGGAUGGUCCCGCGGCGUAUUAGCUAGAUGGUGGGGUAACGGCUCACCAUGGCAAUGAUACGUAGCCGACCUGAGAGGGUAAUCGGCCACAUUGGGACUGAGACACGGCCCAAACUCCUACGGGAGGCAGCAGUAGGGAAUCUUCCACAAUGGACGAAAGUCUGAUGGAGCAACGCCGCGUGAGUGAAGAAGGGUUUCGGCUCGUAAAACUCUGUUGUUAAAGAAGAACAUAUCUGAGAGUAACUGUUCAGGUAUUGACGGUAUUUAACCAGAAAGCCACGGCUAACUACGUGCCAGCAGCCGCGGUAAUACGUAGGUGGCAAGCGUUGUCCGGAUUUAUUGGGCGUAAAGCGAGCGCAGGCGGUUUUUUAAGUCUGAUGUGAAAGCCUUCGGCUCAACCGAAGAAGUGCAUCGGAAACUGGGAAACUUGAGUGCAGAAGAGGACAGUGGAACUCCAUGUGUAGCGGUGAAAUGCGUAGAUAUAUGGAAGAACACCAGUGGCGAAGGCGGCUGUCUGGUCUGUAACUGACGCUGAGGCUCGAAAGUAUGGGUAGCAAACAGGAUUAGAUACCCUGGUAGUCCAUACCGUAAACGAUGAAUGCUAAGUGUUGGAGGGUUUCCGCCCUUCAGUGCUGCAGCUAACGCAUUAAGCAUUCCGCCUGGGGAGUACGGCCGCAAGGCUGAAACUCAAAGGAAUUGACGGGGGCCCGCACAAGCGGUGGAGCAUGUGGUUUAAUUCGAAGCUACGCGAAGAACCUUACCAGGUCUUGACAUACUAUGCAAAUCUAAGAGAUUAGACGUUCCCUUCGGGGACAUGGAUACAGGUGGUGCAUGGUUGUCGUCAGCUCGUGUCGUGAGAUGUUGGGUUAAGUCCCGCAACGAGCGCAACCCUUAUUAUCAGUUGCCAGCAUUAAGUUGGGCACUCUGGUGAGACUGCCGGUGACAAACCGGAGGAAGGUGGGGAUGACGUCAAAUCAUCAUGCCCCUUAUGACCUGGGCUACACACGUGCUACAAUGGAUGGUACAACGAGUUGCGAACUCGCGAGAGUAAGCUAAUCUCUUAAAGCCAUUCUCAGUUCGGAUUGUAGGCUGCAACUCGCCUACAUGAAGUCGGAAUCGCUAGUAAUCGCGGAUCAGCAUGCCGCGGUGAAUACGUUCCCGGGCCUUGUACACACCGCCCGUCACACCAUGAGAGUUUGUAACACCCAAAGUCGGUGGGGUAACCUUUUAGGAACCAGCCGCCUAAGGUGGGACAGAUGAUUAGGG